CGGGUGGCAGGCGUGGCUCACACUUGACCACGGUGUUGGAGAAACUCUGAGCUCCGGGUCUUUAUAAUCACUCUGCGGAGCUCACAGAGACUGCAGGGAGGACAGGAGGACAGAGCAGACUUUAAAGCAGAGGAGUGGAGUUACUCGGAGACUGACUGGAUUAAACACACCAAAGGUUUAUAUUCCAGUUGGACCGUAUCUCUUACCAAGGUCUGCACUACGUAUCAGGAUGUGAUCUUAUUCAGGUGAAGGUAGAAAGUGUGUGUGAGCUGAUGUGAAUUGAGCAG
This is a non-coding RNA of Maylandia zebra (zebra mbuna), 287 nucleotides long. The record is from RefSeq and is a predicted model, not a curated record. Lineage: Eukaryota; Metazoa; Chordata; Actinopteri; Cichliformes; Cichlidae.